This 253-nucleotide ribosomal RNA is filed under the name uncultured bacterium. RNAcentral describes it as "partial 16S ribosomal RNA". It matches the Rfam family "Bacterial small subunit ribosomal RNA", at positions 524 to 776 of the family's 1533-position model. The record is from RNAcentral.
UACGUAGGGGGCAAGCGUUAUCCGGAUUUACUGGGUGUAAAGGGAGCGUAGACGGCGAUGCAAGCCAGAUGUGAAAGCCCGGGGCUCAACCCCGGGACUGCAUUUGGUACUGUGUGGCUGGUGUGUCGGAGAGGCAAGUGGAAUUCCUAGUGUAGCGGUGAAAUGCGUAGAUAUUAGGAGGAACACCAGUGGCGAAGGCGGCUUGCUGGACGAUGACUGACGUUGAGGCUCGAAAGCGUGGGGAGCAAACAGG